UACGCCUCAUGGGAGGACUAUGUGGCUGCACGCCACACCACCACAUACAGACUGCCCAACCGUGUUGAUGGCACUGGCUUUGUGGUCUAUGAUGGCGCGGUCUUCUACAAUAAGGAGCGCACUCGCAACAUUGUCAAAUAUGACCUGCGGACCGCAUCAAGAGCGGUGAGACGGUCAUAAACACAGCCAACUACCACGACACCUCACCUUACCGCUGGGGAGGCAAAACCGACAUUGACCUGGCAGUGGAUGAGAACGGACUGUGGGUCAUCUAUGCAACUGAGGGAACAACGGGCGCUUGGUGGUGAGCCAGCUCAACCCUACACAUUGCGUUUCGAGGGCACGUGGGAAACGGGCUACGACAAGCGCUCGGCCUCCAAUGCCUUCAUGGUGUGUGGCGUCCUCUACGUGCUGCGCUCUGUCUAUGUGGACGACGAUAGCGAGGCGGCAGGCAACCGCGUGGACUAUGCCUUCAACACCAAUGCAAACCGAGAGGAGCCAGUCAGCCUGGCCUUCCCCAACCCCUACCAGUUCGUAUCUUCAGUUGACUACAACCCUCGGGACAACCAGCUCUAUGUGUGGAACAACUAUUUUGUGGUGCGCUAUAGCCUGGAGUUCGGACCCCCAGACCCAGUGCUGGUGAGGAUGGGCCCAGCCACUUCCCCUCCUCUCAGUACCACUACCACAGCUCGGCCCACGCCCCUCACCAGCACAGCCUCGCCUGCAGCCACCACACCACUCCGCCGGGCGCCCCUCACCACACACCAGUGGGUGCCAUCAACCAGCUGGGACCUGACCUGCCUCCAGCCACAGCCCCAGCACCCAGUACCCGGCGGCCUCCGGCCCCUAAUCUACAUGUAUCCCCUGAGCUCUUCUGUGAACCCCGAGAGGUCCGCCGGGUCCAGUGGCCAGCUACCCAACAGGGUAUGCUGGUGGAGAGACCUUGCCCCAAGGGAACACGAGGAAUUGCCUCAUUCCAGUGCCUCCCAGCUCUGGGGCUCUGGAACCCUCGGGGCCCUGACCUCAGUAACUGCACUUCCCCCUGGGUCAACCAAGUAGCACAGAAGAUCAAGAGUGGAGAGAAUGCGGCUAACAUUGCCAGUGAGCUGGCCCGCCACACACGGGGCUCCAUCUAUGCUGGGGACGUGUCCUCCUCGGUGAAGCUGAUGGAGCAGCUGCUGGACAUCCUGGAUGCCCAGCUCCAGGCUCUCCGGCCUAUUGAACGCGAGUCGGCCGGCAAGAACUACAAUAAGAUGCACAAGCGAGAGAGAACCUGCAAGGACUAUAUCAAGGCUGUGGUGGAGACAGUGGACAACUUGCUCCGGCCAGAGGCACUUGAGUCAUGGAAAGACAUGAAUGCCACCGAACAGGUCCAUACAGCCACCAUGCUUCUAGAUGUCCUGGAGGAGGGCGCCUUCCUGCUGGCUGACAAUGUCAGAGAACCUGCUCGCUUCUUGGCUGCCAAACAAAACGUGGUCCUGGAGGUAACUGUCCUGAACACGGAGGGUCAAGUGCAGGAGUUGGUGUUCCCCCAGGAGUAUCCCAGCGAGAACUCCAUUCAGCUGUCUGCCAACACCAUCAAACAGAACAGUCGCAAUGGUGUUGUGAAGGUUGUCUUCAUUCUCUACAACAACCUGGGCCUCUUCUUGUCCACGGAAAAUGCCACAGUGAAGCUGGCAGGUGAGGCAGGGUCCAGUGGCCCUGGAGGUGCCUCCCUGGUGGUCAACUCACAGGUCAUUGCAGCAUCUAUCAACAAGGAGUCCAGCCGUGUCUUCCUCAUGGACCCUGUCAUCUUUACUGUGGCCCACUUGGAGGCCAAGAACCACUUCAAUGCAAACUGCUCCUUCUGGAACUACUCAGAGCGCUCCAUGCUGGGCUACUGGUCAACCCAGGGCUGCCGACUGGUGGAGUCCAAUAAGACCCAUACCACAUGUGCCUGCAGCCACCUCACCAACUUCGCAGUACUCAUGGCUCACCGAGAGAUCUAUCAAGGCCGUAUUAAUGAGCUGCUACUGUCAGUCAUCACCUGGGUUGGCAUUGUCAUCUCUCUGGUCUGUCUGGCUAUCUGCAUCUCCACCUUCUGCUUCCUGCGGGGCCUGCAGACUGACCGGAACACCAUCCACAAGAACCUGUGCAUCAACCUCUUCCUUGCAGAGCUGCUCUUCCUGGUUGGAAUAGACAAAACUCAGUAUGAGGUCGCCUGCCCCAUCUUUGCGGGCCUGCUGCACUACUUCUUCCUGGCCGCCUUCUCCUGGCUGUGCCUGGAGGGCGUGCACCUCUACCUGCUGCUGGUGGAGGUGUUCGAGAGCGAGUACUCGCGCACCAAGUACUAUUACCUGGGCGGCUACUGCUUCCCAGCCCUGGUGGUAGGCAUUGCAGCAGCCAUUGACUACCGAAGCUACGGCACUGAAAAGGCCUGCUGGCUGAGGGUGGAUAACUACUUCAUCUGGAGCUUCAUUGGGCCCGUCUCGUUUGUCAUUGUGGUGAACCUGGUGUUCCUCAUGGUGACCCUGCACAAGAUGAUCCGAAGCUCAUCAGUGCUCAAGCCCGACUCCAGUCGCCUUGACAACAUCAAGUCCUGGGCGCUGGGUGCCAUUGCGCUGCUCUUCCUGCUGGGCCUCACCUGGGCUUUCGGCCUCCUCUUCAUCAACAAGGAGUCGGUGGUCAUGGCGUAUCUCUUUACUACCUUCAACGCCUUCCAGGGGGUCUUCAUCUUUGUCUUUCACUGCGCCUUACAGAAAAAGGUGCACAAGGAGUACAGCAAGUGCCUGCGCCACUCCUACUGCUGCAUCCGCUCCCCCCCUGGGGGCACUCACGGCUCCCUUAAGACCUCAGCCAUGCGAAGUAACACCCGAUACUACACAGGGACCCAGAGCCGGAUCCGGAGGAUGUGGAAUGACACCGUGAGGAAGCAGACAGAGUCUUCCUUUAUGGCAGGUGACAUCAACAGCACCCCCACCCUGAACCGAGGUACCAUGGGGAACCACCUACUGACCAACCCCGUGCUCCAGCCCCGUGGGGGCACUAGCCCAUACAAUACACUCAGUGCAGAGUCCGUGGGCUUCAAUCCUUCCUCGCCCCCAGUCUUCAACUCCCCAGGAAGCUACAGGGAACCCAAGCACCCCUUGGGAGGCCGGGAAGCCUGUGGCAUGGACACCCUGCCCCUUAACGGCAACUUCAACAACAGCUACUCCUUGCGAAGUGGUGAUUUCCCUCCAGGAGAUGGGGGUCCUGAGCCGCCCCGAGGCCGGAACCUGGCGGAUGCUGCCGCCUUUGAGAAGAUGAUCAUCUCAGAGCUGGUGCACAACAACCUGCGGGGGGCCAGUGGGGGAGCCAAAGGGCCUCCACCAGAGCCUCCUGUGCCCCCUGUGCCAGGGGUCAGUGAGGACGAGGCCGGUGGGCCGGGGGGUGCUGACCGGGCAGAGAUUGAACUUCUCUACAAGGCCCUGGAGGAGCCACUGCUGCUGCCCCGGGCCCAGUCGGUGCUGUACCAGAGUGAUCUGGAUGAGUCGGAAAGCUGUACGGCAGAGGAUGGGGCCACCAGCCGGCCCCUCUCCUCCCCUCCCGGCCGGGACUCCCUCUAUGCCAGCGGGGCCAACCUGCGGGACUCGCCCUCCUACCCGGACAGCAGCCCCGAAGGGCCUAAUGAGGCCCUGCCCCCGCCCCCACCUGCUCCCCCUGGGCCCCCAGAAAUCUACUACACCUCUCGCCCGCCGGCCCUGGUGGCUCGGAAUCCCCUACAGGGCUACUACCAGGUUCGGCGGCCCAGCCAUGAGGGCUACCUGGCAGCCCCGAGCCUCGAGGGGCCAGGGCCCGAUGGGGAUGGGCAAAUGCAGUUGGUCACUAGUCUCUGAGGGGCCUCAUGGACCAGAGGCCAGAGGCCUGGCCAGGGAGGGAAUCCAGGAGGGGCUCUGGUGGGAGCAGAGACUGACGGAGGCAGUGGCUGGUGGGCCACUCUCUCCAGGUGCCCCUCUGCCUGUGGGCCCCACGGUCCCCUUCGGGACUAUGACCUGGGCCCCAGGUGCCAGGGUUAGUAGACAGGGUUUCCACCAGCCACAAGCCCCAGCCUCUCUAGGGGAGUGCAUUGAGGAGAAGCCCCCAGGGCCCUGGGAGUGAAAGAGAAGCUGGUAGGUGUGACCAACUUCCGAAGCUCCCUGCCUGUGGAGGGGGAAAGCAAGGGACAAGGCUUCCCUAAGUAUAUAGGGGGUUGCCGCUUUUGAGGUGGCCAAAGCCUUGCAGGAUCCACCCUAUCUGCUGCUCACUCUUCUCCAUCCACCAGAAAGGAACAGUGGGACAGAUGGAUAGGAUCCUACAGUCCUUGCUUCCUGGAGACUGGGCCUUGCACCACGAGAAAGCCCAGGCCCAGGGGAUGGGGCUGUGGAAGCUGGUGGUUAAUGGUGGAACUUUCUCUGAAGCUCCUUUCUCCCUUGCUAUUGGUCCCUGUCUCCCAAGCAAGCCUGUCCCUCAACCCCCAGAGUGCACCCAAUGACCCCCUCCCUUGGGGUGACUCCUGAUGAAGCACAACUCCCGCAGGGCCCCUAACCCACUGGAGUGGCCAUAUUUGGGCAGUUCCCAGUCCUGUGGGCUGGGCUAUCUGGGGAGCAGAUUUGGGGUCUGGGGCUCCCUGAGGAGUGGGUCCUGGGUUUGGAUCUUUCCCUAGGGGGUCCUCUUACCCCUCUCUCUUCCUCCCCUAUUGCUGUAAAUAUUUCAACAAAAUGGAAAAGGAAAAAAAAAA
Molecule: non-coding RNA, 4735 nt
Organism: Arvicanthis niloticus (Nile rat)
Lineage: Eukaryota; Metazoa; Chordata; Mammalia; Rodentia; Muridae
Source: RefSeq, a predicted model, not a curated record